UACGAGGGGGGCAAGCGUUGUUCGGAAUUAUUGGGCGUAAAGAGCGUGUAGGCGGUCUGGUAGGUCCGUUGUGAAAACUCGAGGCUCAACCUCGAGACGCCGAUGGAAACCAUCAGACUAGAGUCCGGAAGAGGAGAGUGGAAUUCCUGGUGUAGCGGUGAAAUGCGCAGAUAUCAGGAAGAACACCCGUGGCUAAGGCGGCUCUCUAGUACGGUACUGACGCUGAGACGCGAAAGCGUGGGGAGCGAACAGG
RNAcentral lists this ribosomal RNA (253 nucleotides) under uncultured bacterium. RNAcentral's name for it is "partial 16S ribosomal RNA". It matches the Rfam family "Bacterial small subunit ribosomal RNA", at positions 524 to 776 of the family's 1533-position model. The record is from RNAcentral.